RNAcentral lists this unclassified non-coding RNA (223 nucleotides) under uncultured fungus. RNAcentral's name for it is "sequence contains ITS1". Lineage: Eukaryota; Fungi. The record is from RNAcentral.
GUAUUAAAUUUUUCAGCUUGCAAAAAAAACAAGCUUAUGUUUUAACAUUCUAAACUUUUAAGUGUAUAUGAAAAGACAUAGGCCAAUUAUAAAAUUGACCUACAAAAGGUGCACAUGGUGUAAAAUUUGGAAAGGAGGUGUGCACAAUAUCUUGGAUUAAGACCAGCUAACAACCUCCCUCUAUAAUUCAAUAAUGAUCCUUCCGCAGGUUCACCUACGGAAA